Molecule: long non-coding RNA, 1314 nt
Organism: Solea senegalensis (Senegalese sole)
Lineage: Eukaryota; Metazoa; Chordata; Actinopteri; Pleuronectiformes; Soleidae
Exons: 2
Source: RefSeq, a predicted model, not a curated record
UUCCGGCUUGUGUGCUGAGCAGUGCAUGUGAGCCGAGUUUGAAAAGGGAGGUGCUGGGAAGUCAGAGGGCUAUUCUAUUUUUAACCCGGCCAUUGUUCCCCUUCGCCCCUGCGCACACGGUUCCUCUGGGUCCACGGGCUGCAGUCUGGGAUGGCCCUUUCAGGGACCCGAGGACACUCUGAGGACGGCAAGAGCAAGGUGGGACUCGUCGUGUUUGUGAACAACACUGCAGCAGCAGCCAUGGUGAAGGUGCAAACAGGACACUAACGGGGGAGUCGGGCCAAGGCAUGUAACUGUUUACCUUUUACAUGACAGAGAAAACAAACGUGUGCUCGUGCAGAGACAGACAGAAGACUUGUGACGAUUCUUUUUGGGAGAUCACUACAUUUUUAGAGAAGGCACACAUAAAUCUGGAUCAUGAAGCUGAUGGUGGCUGGAAAGCUUUGGAGGGAAAAGGACAACAUGAAAAAAAACAAUGCUGAUGAAAUGGAUUCUUACUUUGGCCAUCUGAGCCUGGACCCCACUGGACUUCAGAGCUGUAACAGCUUUCUGUGCUGCUGCUGGACUGUCGAAGUCCACAAAGCCAUAUCCUGUGAAACAGACACCACCGAGUUAAAACCUCUGUGAGGAGUGUGAAGCUAGUGUGAAUAGUUUAAACUUCUACACGGAAUCAACUCAGUGCUGCUGACACACCGUACGUCACAGUGGUUUGCAGUACGCACGUCAUAGGGGGGAAUGAACACGUGUGCUCUGGUGUUUCUGAAGCCUUUUUUCACAUUAAAAUAAGAGAACAUACGUGGGAUUUAUAAACCAGGGUGAAGUCGCUUAAAAAAAAGGUGCUUACCACCGUUCCUCUGCUCUGCAGUGUUGUUUUUCCACCCAUGUGUGAAUUGUGACGUCUCAGGCGGAGGUUACUAUUUCACAGCUUUUACUGGGGUCUCACUUUAAAUCGGCUGUUUAGAUCCAUGGUUCUCAAACGGUGGUAAAUAAUAAUAACAGUCACGUUAUCUCUCGCUCAUCUAAAUUCAUGUGAGGAAGAGAAUGAAUCCCUGGAAUAAAUAAUUUUUUUUGCAUUGUGUUCUACAAUGACACGAAUGAAAAGCUAAAUGUUGACCAACAGUCGCUUUAACUGUUUAACUGUGAUGACUACAAUGCAUAAAAGAGUGAAGACUUUGGAGGGAAUAACAUGUGAAUAACAUUGAACUGAUGGAAUCAGGAAGAAGGAAGACUUUGUGUGAGUGUCGACAUGGAUAGGAUCUGCUUCCAAGUAAAUCACCGUCAAUGUAAUGUGUACUUCAAAUUAAAAAUGCACAA